Molecule: ribosomal RNA, 429 nt
Filed under: Chloroflexota bacterium
Lineage: Bacteria; Bacillati; Chloroflexota
Description: Chloroflexi bacterium partial 16S ribosomal RNA
Rfam family: Bacterial small subunit ribosomal RNA
Source: RNAcentral
UGGGGAAUAUUGCACAAUGGGCGCAAGCCUGAUGCAGCCAUGCCGCGUGUGUGAAGAAGGCCUUCGGGUUGUAAAGCACUUUCAGCGGGGAGGAAGGCGAUAAGGUUAAUAACCUUGUUGAUUGACGUUACCCGCAGAAGAAGCACCGGCUAACUCCGUGCCAGCAGCCGCGGUAAUACGGAGGGUGCAAGCGUUAAUCGGAAUUACUGGGCGUAAAGCGCACGCAGGCGGUCUGUCAAGUCGGAUGUGAAAUCCCCGGGCUUAACCUGGGAACUGCAUUCGAAACUGGCAGGCUAGAGUCUUGUAGAGGGGGGUAGAAUUCCAGGUGUAGCGGUGAAAUGCGUAGAGAUCUGGAGGAAUACCGGUGGCGAAGGCGGCCCCCUGGACAAAGACUGACGCUCAGGUGCGAAAGCGUGGGGAGCAAACAGG